Molecule: ribosomal RNA, 497 nt
Filed under: uncultured bacterium
Lineage: Bacteria
Description: partial 16S ribosomal RNA
Rfam family: Bacterial small subunit ribosomal RNA
Source: RNAcentral
GAUGAACGCUGGCGGCGUGCCUAAUACAUGCAAGUCGAGCGAACAGAUGAGGAGCUUGCUCCUCUGACGUUAGCGGCGGACGGGUGAGUAACACGUGGAUAACCUACCUAUAAGACUGGGAUAACUUCGGGAAACCGGAGCUAAUACCGGAUAAUAUAUUGAACCGCAUGGUUCAAUAGUGAAAGACGGUUUUGCUGUCACUUAUAGAUGGAUCCGCGCCGCAUUAGCUAGUUGGUAAGGUAACGGCUUACCAAGGCGACGAUGCGUAGCCGACCUGAGAGGGUGAUCGGCCACACUGGAACUGAGACACGGUCCAGACUCCUACGGGAGGCAGCAGUCGGGAAUCUUCCGCAAUGGGCGAAAGCCUGACGGAGCAACGCCGCGUGAGUGAUGAAGGUCUUCGGAUCGUAAAACUCUGUUAUUAGGGAAGAACAAAUGUGUAAGUAACUAUGCACGUCUUGACGGUACCUAAUCAGAAAGCCACGGCUAACUACGUG